RNAcentral lists this ribosomal RNA (757 nucleotides) under Mycobacteroides abscessus subsp. abscessus. Its description in RNAcentral is "bacterial LSU rRNA". It matches the Rfam family "Bacterial large subunit ribosomal RNA", at positions 1996 to 2752 of the family's 2925-position model. Lineage: Bacteria; Bacillati; Actinomycetota; Actinomycetes; Mycobacteriales; Mycobacteriaceae. The record is from RNAcentral.
AUGGCGUAACGACUUCUCAACUGUCUCAACCAUAGACUCGGCGAAAUUGCACUACGAGUAAAGAUGCUCGUUACGCGCGGCAGGACGAAAAGACCCCGGGACCUUCACUAUAGCUUGGUAUUGGCGUUUGGUUCGGUUUGUGUAGGAUAGGUGGGAGACUGUGAAGCAGGCACGCCAGUGUUUGUGGAGUCAUCGUUGAAAUACCACUCUGAUCGUAUUGAACCUCUAACCUCGGACCGUAUAUCCGGUCCAGGGACAGUGCCUGGUGGGUAGUUUAACUGGGGCGGUUGCCUCCCAAAAUGUAACGGAGGCGCCCAAAGGUUCCCUCAACCUGGACGGCAAUCAGGUGUUGAGUGCAAGUGCACAAGGGAGCUUGACUGCGAGACCUACAAGUCAAGCAGGGACGAAAGUCGGGACUAGUGAUCCGGCACCUCUGAGUGGAAGGGGUGUCGCUCAACGGAUAAAAGGUACCCCGGGGAUAACAGGCUGAUCUUCCCCAAGAGUCCAUAUCGACGGGAUGGUUUGGCACCUCGAUGUCGGCUCGUCGCAUCCUGGGGCUGGAGCAGGUCCCAAGGGUUGGGCUGUUCGCCCAUUAAAGCGGCACGCGAGCUGGGUUUAGAACGUCGUGAGACAGUUCGGUCUCUAUCCGCCGCGCGCGUCAGAAACUUGAGGAAACCUGUCCCUAGUACGAGAGGACCGGGACGGACGAACCUCUGGUGUACCAGUUGUUCCACCAGGAGCACGGCUGGAUAGCUAC